RNAcentral lists this ribosomal RNA (442 nucleotides) under uncultured bacterium. RNAcentral describes it as "bacterial SSU rRNA". It matches the Rfam family "Bacterial small subunit ribosomal RNA", at positions 958 to 1397 of the family's 1533-position model. The record is from RNAcentral.
AACGCGAAGAACCUUACCAGGAUUCGACAUGCCCUCUUUGGAUUUCCGAAAAGAAAUCCUUCAUUUAGUUGGGAGGAGCACAGGUGCUGCAUGGCUGUCGUCAGCUCGUGUCGUGAGAUGUUGGGUUAAGUCCCGCAACGAGCGCAACCCUCGUCCUCUGUUGCUAACAGGUUAGGCUGAGCACUCUGAGGAAACUGCCGGUGAUAAGCCGGAGGAAGGUGGGGAUGACGUCAAGUCCUCAUGGCCCUUACAUCCUGGGCUACACACGUGUUACAAUGGCGAUGACAAUGGGUCGCGAUCGCGCAAGCGCUAGCUAAUCCCCAAAAGUCGCCUCAGUUCGGAUUGUACUCUGCAACUCGAGUACAUGAAGCUGGAAUCGCUAGUAAUCGUGGAUCAGCACGCCACGGUGAAUACGUUCCCGGGCCUUGUACACACCGCAUAC